AGUGAACGCUGGCGGUAGGCCUAACACAUGCAAGUCGAACGGCAGCACAGUAAGAGCUUGCUCUUACGGGUGGCGAGUGGCGGACGGGUGAGGAAUACAUCGGAAUCUACUUUUUCGUGGGGGAUAACGUAGGGAAACUUACGCUAAUACCGCAUACGACCUACGGGUGAAAGCAGGGGAUCUUCGGACCUUGCGCGAUUGAAUGAGCCGAUGUCGGAUUAGCUAGUUGGCGGGGUAAAGGCCCACCAAGGCGACGAUCCGUAGCUGGUCUGAGAGGAUGAUCAGCCACACUGGAACUGAGACACGGUCCAGACUCCUACGGGAGGCAGCAGUGGGGAAUAUUGGACAAUGGGCGCAAGCCUGAUCCAGCCAUACCGCGUGGGUGAAGAAGGCCUUCGGGUUGUAAAGCCCUCUUGUUGGGAAAGAAAAGCAGCAGGUUAAUACCCCGCUGUUCUGACGGUACCCAAAGAAUAAGCAUCGGCUAACUUCGUG
This 492-nucleotide ribosomal RNA is filed under the name uncultured bacterium. Its description in RNAcentral is "partial 16S ribosomal RNA". It matches the Rfam family "Bacterial small subunit ribosomal RNA", at positions 29 to 507 of the family's 1533-position model. The record is from RNAcentral.